AUUUCACCUGGCUGCUAUUUAGUACAUCAUUUUCCCAUGGAGGGAAAAUGCAUUCUGAUUUCAAUUAGGGACAGUGAGUUCCCUCCUGCUCCAAGGGAUGCCAUGAUUAGGUUUUCUACUGUAGAGCUGGCAGGUUUAUAUGCACAGAAAUGUGCUGUGAUGGAGCAACAAGAGCAAGGAGUCUGUGAACAAUGAAAAAAGAAAGCUGAUGGGAAAUACUAUCAUUCUGAAAAGCUGCCAAGCAACUAAUCUCAUCCAACUUGAACCUUUGCCUUUGAAGCAUGAGCAGAUGAGACCAAAUAGUUAAAUUCAGUCACUCAGUUGUGUCCGACUCAUUGUGACCCCAUGGACUGCAGCACACCAG
Molecule: long non-coding RNA, 364 nt
Organism: Bubalus bubalis (water buffalo)
Lineage: Eukaryota; Metazoa; Chordata; Mammalia; Artiodactyla; Bovidae
Exons: 3
Source: RefSeq, a predicted model, not a curated record